RNAcentral lists this transfer RNA (77 nucleotides) under Deltaproteobacteria bacterium CG07_land_8_20_14_0_80_38_7. RNAcentral describes it as "tRNA-Arg". It matches the Rfam family "tRNA". From Rfam's summary of the family: Transfer RNA (tRNA) molecules are approximately 80 nucleotides in length. Their secondary structure includes four short double-helical elements and three loops (D, anti-codon, and T loops). Further hydrogen bonds mediate the characteristic L-shaped molecular structure. tRNAs have two regions of fundamental functional importance: the anti-codon, which is responsible for specific mRNA codon recognition, and the 3' end, to which the tRNAs corresponding amino acid is attached (by aminoacyl-tRNA synthetases). tRNAs cope with the degeneracy of the genetic code in two manners: having more than one tRNA (with a specific anti-codon) for a particular amino acid; and 'wobble' base-pairing, i.e. permitting non-standard base-pairing at the 3rd anti-codon position. Lineage: Bacteria; Deltaproteobacteria. The record is from RNAcentral.
GCACCUGUAGCUCAGGGGAUUAGAGCAUUUGCCUCCGAAGCAAAGGGUCGCAGGUUCGAAUCCUGCCAGGUGCGCAA